GGAAGUAAAAUCGUAACAAGGUUUCCGUAGGUGAACCUGCGGAAGGAUCAUUAUUGUAUAACCGAGGUGCGAGGGCUGUCGCUGACCCGAAAGGUCGUGCACGCCCGAGUGCCCUCACACACAUCCAUCUCACCCCUAUGUGCACCACCGCGUGGGUCCCCCUUUGGCUUGUUCGGAGGGGGGCUUACGUCUUCACACAAACUUUGUAUGCAGUGUAGAAUGUAUUUUUUGUUUUUGCGAUCACGCAAUCAAUACAACUUUCAACAACGGAUCUCUUGGCUCUC
This 284-nucleotide unclassified non-coding RNA is filed under the name plant metagenome. RNAcentral describes it as "partial contains small subunit ribosomal RNA, internal transcribed spacer 1, and 5.8S ribosomal RNA". The stretch from base 1 to 53 matches the Rfam family "Eukaryotic small subunit ribosomal RNA", at positions 1778 to 1831 of the family's 1831-position model. The record is from RNAcentral.